Molecule: transfer RNA, 78 nt
Filed under: Candidatus Omnitrophota bacterium
Lineage: Bacteria; Pseudomonadati; Candidatus Omnitrophota
Description: tRNA-Pro
Rfam family: tRNA
About the family: Transfer RNA (tRNA) molecules are approximately 80 nucleotides in length.
Source: RNAcentral
CGGGGAGUAGCGCAGCUCGGCUAGCGCGCAACGUUCGGGACGUUGAGGUCCCGGGUUCAAAUCCCGGCUUCCCGACCA